AACGAACGCUGGCGGCAUGCCUAACACAUGCCAGUCGAACGAGACCUUCGGGUCUAGUGGCGCACGGGUGCGUAACGCGUGGGAACCUGCCCUUAGGUUCGGAAUAACUCCCCGAAAGGGGUGCUAAUACCGGAUAAUGUCUUCGGACCAAAGAUUUAUCGCCUUUGGAUGGGCCCGCGUUGGAUUAGCUAGUUGGUAGGGUAAAAGCCUACCAAGGCGACGAUCCAUAGCUGGUCUGAGAGGAUGAUUAGCCACACUGGGACUGAGACACGGCCCAGACUCCUACGGGAGGCAGCAGUGGGGAAUAUUGGACAAUGGGCGAAAGCCUGAUCCAGCAAUGCCGCGUGAGUGAUGAAGGCCUUAGGGUUGUAAAGCUCUUUUACCCGGGAUGAUAAUGACAGUACCGGGAGAAUAAGCUCCGGCUAACUCCGUG
This 433-nucleotide ribosomal RNA is filed under the name uncultured bacterium. RNAcentral describes it as "partial 16S ribosomal RNA". It matches the Rfam family "Bacterial small subunit ribosomal RNA", at positions 29 to 507 of the family's 1533-position model. The record is from RNAcentral.